GCUAAAUAAAAGCGUGAAGGUGCCAUUAUGGAUAAUAGGGAAUGAGGUGAAAAUCCUCAGCGGACCCACCACUGUACACGGUAGAGAUUUUCAAUUGCCACUGGCUUUUGCCGGGAAGGCGAAAGUCUUGUUAUUCCGUAAGCCAGGAGACCUGCCUUUAUGUAAUAUGUCUG
This 173-nucleotide non-coding RNA is filed under the name Oxobacter pfennigii. Lineage: Bacteria; Bacillati; Bacillota; Clostridia; Eubacteriales; Clostridiaceae. The record is from RNAcentral.